UACGAAGGGGGCUAGCGUUGCUCGGAAUUACUGGGCGUAAAGGGCGCGUAGGCGGAUGUUUAAGUCAGAGGUGAAAGCCCAGGGCUCAACCUUGGAACUGCCUUUGAUACUGGGCAUCUUGAGUAUGGGAGAGGUGAGUGGAACUCCGAGUGUAGAGGUGAAAUUCGUAGAUAUUCGGAAGAACACCAGUGGCGGAGGCGACUCACUGGCCCAUUACUGGCGCUGAGGCGCGAAAGCGUGGGGAGCAAACAGG
RNAcentral lists this ribosomal RNA (253 nucleotides) under uncultured bacterium. RNAcentral describes it as "partial 16S ribosomal RNA". It matches the Rfam family "Bacterial small subunit ribosomal RNA", at positions 524 to 776 of the family's 1533-position model. The record is from RNAcentral.